UUACACUCUUUCUCGCUGUAUUAACAAGAGGCCCAAGUUUUAGAGGCUGAGGCAGGCUGAAGCCAGGUAGCCCAGGUUUCAAGCACAAGGAGGACUCGGAUUUUGGCUGCUAUUUAUGGCUGGAUUUUGUAGGGGCAAGAAAAGGUCUUGUCUUAAAUAUUAAUCCUAAAUGAAAUGGGUACAUCUCUAGGACUGGCUACAUCAGCAGAAAGGAUGCAUUCGAAAUCAGAGGCCUCCAAAUGGAAGACAGUGUCCCAGAGAAAGUAACAAUUAAGCUAAAAUUAAGAUAUAAGUGGGAGUGUGCCUUGUGGACAAGGGAAAAAAGGCAUUCCUGGCAGAAUGAACAGCUCAUGCCAAAGUGUGGAGGUGCGAAGCCAUAUUGCUUCAGUGUAAUCAUACCACGCUAUUCAGUAUAAGAGUUAUACUUUCUGGUGUAACUCCUUCAAUCAGCAGCGCCCAUCUCUGCAUUUUGCACCAGAUGGAUGAACACAAACAUGCAGGAAGGAUCAUAAGGAACAUAAAAUUAGACUCUGCCUGGAGGAAAGAAAAAGCCAACACACAAGCAUAUCACGGGCCACCAGGAAGCACCCAUGUGAACAGACUCAAGUGCAGUCAAGCAUAGGAAGCAUUCCAAGGACAGCUGAGUUUCAAGGUAGGUAUUAAUAAAAUAAGAAGCAGGAGUGAAGAGAAGACUGGGACCCAUUGUCAAUGCUGCUGACCUUCAGAAAUGAACUAUUGGGACCUCAUGAAGAUAAAAAUCUGCUGCACUACAAAGGAAACAAUCAACAAAACUAAAAGGCAAACGACAGAAUGGGAAAAGAUAUUUGCAAAUGACAUAUCAGACAAAGGGCUAGUAUACAAAAUCUAUAAAGAACUCACCAAACUCCACACCCAAAAACCAAAUAAUCCAGUGAAGAAAUGGGCAGAAAACAUGAAUAGACACUUCUCUAAAGAAGACAUACAGAUGGCCAACAGGCACAUGAAAAGAUGCUCAACGUCGCUCCUCAUCAGGGAAAUACAAAUCAAAACCACACUGAGAUAUCAUCUCAUGCCAGUCAGAGUGGUUAAAAUGAACAGAUCAGACUAUAGAUGCUGGAGAGGCUGUGGAGAAACGGGAACCCUCUUGCACUGUUGGCAGGAAUGCAAACUGGACCAGCC
Acinonyx jubatus (cheetah) is the source of this 1158-nucleotide long non-coding RNA. RefSeq lists it as uncharacterized. The transcript is spliced from 3 exons. Lineage: Eukaryota; Metazoa; Chordata; Mammalia; Carnivora; Felidae. The record is from RefSeq and is a predicted model, not a curated record.